AAGGCCGGCGGUAGAAUUUGAUCCUGGCUCAGGAUGAACGCUAGCGACAGGCUUAACACAUGCAAGUCGAGGGGCAGCAUGAGGUAGCAAUACCUUGAUGGCGACCGGCGCACGGGUGAGUAACGCGUAUGCAACCUGCCUGAUACCGGGGUAUAGCCCAUGGAAACGUGGAUUAACACCCCAUAGUACUUUUAUCCUGCAUGGGAUGUGAGUUAAAUGUUUAAGGUAUCGGAUGGGCAUGCGUCCUAUUAGUUAGUUGGGCGGGGUAACAGCCCACCAAGACGAUGAUAGGUAGGGGUUCUGAGAGGAAGGUCCCCCACAUUGGAACUGAGACACGGUCCAAACUCCUACGGGAGGCAGCAGUGAGGAAUAUUGGUCAAUGGACGAGAGUCUGAACCAGCCAAGUCGCGUGAGGGAAGACUGCCCUAUGGGUUGUAAACCUCUUUUAUAAGGGAAGAAUAAGUUCUACGUGUAGAAUGAUGCCUGUACCUUAUGAAUAAGCAUCGGCUAACUCCGUGCCAGCAGCCGCGGUAAUACGGAGGAUGCGAGCGUUAUCCGGAUUUAUUGGGUUUAAAGGGUGCGUAGGCGGUUUAUUAAGUUAGUGGUUAAAUAUUUGAGCUAAACUCAAUUGUGCCAUUAAUACUGGUAAACUGGAGUACAGACGAGGUAGGCGGAAUAAGUUAAGUAGCGGUGAAAUGCAUAGAUAUAACUUAGAACUCCGAUAGCGAAGGCAGCUUACCAGACUGUAACUGACGCUGAUGCACGAGAGCGUGGGUAGCGAACAGGAUUAGAUACCCUGGUAGUCCACGCCGUAAACGAUGCUCACUGGUUCUGUGCGAUAUAUUGUACGGGAUUAAGCGAAAGUAUUAAGUGAGCCACCUGGGGAGUACGUCGGCAACGAUGAAACUCAAAGGUAUUGACGGGGGCCCGCACUAGCGGAGGAACAUGUGGUUUAAUUCGACCUGGGUUUAGAUGGGAAAUGUCGUAUUUGGAAACAGAUAUUCUCUUCGGAGCGUUUUUCAAGGUGCUGCAUGGUUGUCGUCAGCUCGUGCCGUGAGGUGUCGGGUUAAGUCCCAUAACGAGCGCAACCCUUACCGUUAGUUGCUAGCAGCACUCUAACGGGACUGCCACCGUAAGGUGAGAGGAAGGCGGGGAUGACGUCAAAUCAGCACGGCCCUUACACCCAGGGCUACACACGUGUUACAAUGGCCGGUACAGAGGGCCGCUACCAGGUGACUGGAUGCCAAUCUCAAAAGCCGGUCGUAGUUCGGAUUGGAGUCUGUAACCCGACUCCAUGAAGUUGGAUUCGCUAGUAAUCGCGCAUCAGCCAUGGCGCGGUGAAUACGUUCCCGGGCCUUGUACACACCGCCCGUCAAGCCAUGGAAGCCGGGGGUGCCUGAAGUCCGUAACCGCGAGGAUCGGCCUAGGGCAAAACUGGUAACUGGGGCUAAGUCGU
Molecule: ribosomal RNA, 1456 nt
Filed under: uncultured Odoribacter sp.
Lineage: Bacteria; Pseudomonadati; Bacteroidota; Bacteroidia; Bacteroidales; Odoribacteraceae
Description: bacterial SSU rRNA
Rfam family: Bacterial small subunit ribosomal RNA
Source: RNAcentral